UACGUAGGGGGCGAGCGUUGUCCGGAUUUAUUGGGCGUAAAGGGCGUGUAGGCGGCUUUGUAAGUCAGAGGUGAAAACCGCGGGCUCAACCCGGGGAGUGCCUCUGAAACUGCGGAGCUUGAGUGCUCUAGAGGGCAGUGGAAUUCCCGGUGUAGCAGUGAAAUGCGUAGAGAUCGGGAGGAACACCAGUGGCGAAGGCGACUGCCUGGGGAGUAACUGACGCUGAGGCGCGAAAGCUGGGGGAGCAAACGGG
Molecule: ribosomal RNA, 253 nt
Filed under: uncultured bacterium
Lineage: Bacteria
Description: partial 16S ribosomal RNA
Rfam family: Bacterial small subunit ribosomal RNA
Source: RNAcentral